This 458-nucleotide ribosomal RNA is filed under the name uncultured bacterium. RNAcentral's name for it is "partial 16S ribosomal RNA". It matches the Rfam family "Bacterial small subunit ribosomal RNA", at positions 338 to 795 of the family's 1533-position model. The record is from RNAcentral.
CCUACGGGAGGCAGCAGUGGGGAAUAUUGCACAAUGGCGGAAACCCUGAUGCAGCGACGCCGCGUGAGUGAAGAAGUAUUUCGGUAUUUAAAGCUCUAUCAGCCGGGGAGCAAUAGCAACCUCUGGGUGGCGAGACAGUACCUGUCUAAAAAACCCCGACUAACUACGUGCCAUCAGCCGCGGGAAGACGUAGGGGGCAAGAGUUAUCCGGAUUUACUUGGUGUAAAGGGAGCGUGGACGGCAGCACAAGUCUGAAGUGAAAUGCCGGGGGUUAACCCCGGAACUGCCUUGGAAACUGUGCAGCUAGAGUGCAGGAGAGGUAAGUGGAAGUCCUAGUGUAGCGGUGAAAUGCGUAGAUAUUAGGAGGAACACCAGUGGCGAAGGCGGCUUACUGGACUGUAACUGACGUUGAGGCUCGAAAGCGUGGGGAGCAAACAGGAUUAGAUACCCUAGUAGUC